RNAcentral lists this transfer RNA (540 nucleotides) under uncultured Prochlorococcus sp. RNAcentral describes it as "partial 16S-23S ribosomal RNA intergenic spacer". The stretch from base 211 to 283 matches the Rfam family "tRNA". The record is from RNAcentral. Lineage: Bacteria; Bacillati; Cyanobacteriota; Cyanophyceae; Synechococcales; Prochlorococcaceae.
CAGGGAGACAACAAAAUGUUUAAUAUUAUUAUUUUGUCACCUUAGGUCGAUCGGUAUCUCACAUUUUUAAUUUAUUAAGAAUUUCAUUUCCUAAGUUUUUCUAGGUCACACCCAUUAUUUUCCUGGGCCAUUAGCUCAGGUGGUUAGAGCGCACCCCUGAUAAGGGUGAGGUCCCUGGUUCAAGUCCAGGAUGGCCCAUAUCUCUAUGUUGGGGGUAUAGCUCAGUUGGUAGAGCGCCUGCUUUGCAAGCAGGAUGUCAGCGGUUCGAGUCCGCUUACCUCCACUGAUUACCACCUCUCUCAUAACUGGUAGAAAGGAAAUUUUUUGAGUUGUGAUCAAAUUCUGAAAGAAUCUAGCUUCCUAAUGAAAUCAUUAAGAUGCUGGACUCAUUGAAUUAAUUUCAUUGUUUUCAGAGAACCUUGACAACUGCAUAGAUUAUUUUUAAAGACAAUAAGCAUCUUUAAUGAUGCAGAUUUAUUAUUUGUGCGAAUGCAUUAAUAACAAUUCUAUUAAGCUGAUGCUUCAAUUUUUGAAGUUAUU